RNAcentral lists this ribosomal RNA (203 nucleotides) under uncultured bacterium. RNAcentral describes it as "partial 16S ribosomal RNA". It matches the Rfam family "Bacterial small subunit ribosomal RNA", at positions 307 to 526 of the family's 1533-position model. The record is from RNAcentral.
GCCUCCCUCCGCGCCAUCAGACUCCUACGGGAGGACAGCAGUGGGGAAGUUUUGUCGCAAUGGGGGAAACCCGUGACGCAGCAACGCCGCGUGGAGGAUGAGAUCCUUUGGGUAGUGUAAACUACCUUUCGUAUCCGGGACGAUUAUGACGGUACCGGAAGAAGUAGCCCCGGCUAACUUCGUGCCAGCAGCCGCGGUAAUAC